UAAUACGGAGGGUGCGAGCGUUGUCCGGAUUUAUUGGGUUUAAAGGGUGCGUAGGUGGCUGAUUAAGUCAGUGGUGAAAUACAGCCGCUCAACGGUUGAGGUGCCAUUGAUACUGAUCAGCUUGAAAUAAUUGGAGGCUGCCGGAAUGGAUGGUGUAGCGGUGAAAUGCAUAGAUAUCAUCCAGAACACCGAUUGCGAAGGCAGGUGGCUACGAUUUAUUUGACACUGAGGCACGAAAGCAUGGGGAGCAAACAGGAUUAGAUACCCUGGUAGUCCAUGCCGUAAACGAUGAGGACUCGCUGUUGGCCUGUCACGGGUCAGCGGCUUAGGGAAACCGUUAAGUCCUCCACCUGGGGAGUACGCCGGCAACGGUG
This 374-nucleotide ribosomal RNA is filed under the name uncultured bacterium. RNAcentral's name for it is "bacterial SSU rRNA". It matches the Rfam family "Bacterial small subunit ribosomal RNA", at positions 521 to 896 of the family's 1533-position model. The record is from RNAcentral.